UUGCUCCUCGAUUCAGCGGCGGACGGGUGAGUAUGCCUAGGANUCUGCCUGGUAGUGGGGGACAACGUUUCGNAAGGAACGCUAAUACCGCAUCACGUCCUACGGGAGAAAGCANGGGUGCACCUUCGGGCCUUGCGCUAUCAGAUGAGCCUAGGUCGGAUUAGUCUAGUUGGUGGUGGUAAAGGCUCACCAAGGCGACGAUCCGUANCUGGUCUGAGAGGAUGAUCAGUCACACUGGAACUGAGACACGGUCCAGACUCCUACNGGAGGCAGCAGUGGGGAAUAUUGGACAAUGGGCGAAAGCCUGAUCCANCCAUGCCGCGUGUGUGAAGAAGGUCUUCGGAUUGUAAAGCACUUUANGUUGGGAGGAAGGGCCGUUACCUAAUACGUGAUGGUUUUGACGUUACCGACAGAAUAAGCACCGGCUAACUCUGUGCCAGCAGCCGCGGUAAUACAGAGGGUGCAAGCGUUAAUCAGAUUUUUUGGG
RNAcentral lists this ribosomal RNA (487 nucleotides) under Pseudomonas rhizosphaerae. Its description in RNAcentral is "bacterial SSU rRNA". It matches the Rfam family "Bacterial small subunit ribosomal RNA", at positions 80 to 558 of the family's 1533-position model. The record is from RNAcentral. Lineage: Bacteria; Pseudomonadati; Pseudomonadota; Gammaproteobacteria; Pseudomonadales; Pseudomonadaceae.